This 498-nucleotide ribosomal RNA is filed under the name uncultured bacterium. RNAcentral describes it as "partial 16S ribosomal RNA". It matches the Rfam family "Bacterial small subunit ribosomal RNA", at positions 899 to 1397 of the family's 1533-position model. The record is from RNAcentral.
ACUCAAAGGAAUUGACGGGGACCCGCACAAGCGGUGGAUGAUGUGGUUUAAUUCGAUGCUACGCGAAGAACCUUACCCACCUUUGACAUGUACGGAAUUGGCUAGAGAUAGUUGAGUGCUCGAAAGAGAACCGUAACACAGGUGCUGCAUGGCUGUCGUCAGCUCGUGUCGUGAGAUGUUGGGUUAAGUCCCGCAACGAGCGCAACCCUUAUCAUUAGUUGCUACAUUUAGUUGAGAACUCUAAUGAGACUGCCGGUGAUAAGCCGGAGGAAGGUGGGGAUGACGUCAAGUCCUCAUGGCCCUUAUAGGUGGGGCUACACACGUCAUACAAUGGCUGGUACAGAUGGUUGCCAACCCGCGAGGGGGAGCCAAUCCAACAAAACCAGUCGUAGUCCGGAUCGCAGUCUGCAACUCGACUGCGUGAAGUCGGAAUCGCUAGUAAUCGUGGAUCAGAAUGUCACGGUGAAUACGUUCCCGGGUCUUGCACACACCGCCCGU